GGGGCAUCAUUCGGCCUUACCAAGGGCCUAUGUGCGAGAUCCCCUUGUAGCCGCUCCAAAUCACUCAUUAUCUGGCGGACGAAUGUCAUCACUUCAAUGAAGAAGGUGGUUCGGUUCAUAUCCUCACAUACUUGGCAUUUUGUGACAAUGUAGUCGACAAUAACCCUAAUCCUUUCUCGGAUCCUUCCCUUUUCCUGAAGUAAUCGCCCGAUUUGCUGGUUUCUGGUUUCUAACACCUGAAUGUCGUGAUGGAUUUGGUUUUGCACCUGUUGCAUUUCCUCUUCCGUCCUAGCCAUUAGAGCAUAACAAUGUUCGCUGUCAGCUUUAAAUUCAUUGGCUUGUUUAUCCGCCUAAUUCUCCAUGGUGGUUAACUUUCUUCUCAGGUUGAUAAUUGUCCCUUCAUACUUUCUUUUUAUUUGUUGCACAAAAUGUGUCCUCCCCUCUGCACUCUUUGCAAAUUGGGCAUGGACCUUUGCUAGUUCUUUCUCGGUACUUUCUUUCUCAGACUGCUUAUGAGCCUUUCGUCUGCUUGGUUCUUUCUCGGUUUCUAGCAGCUAUUCUCAAUUUCUGGAUUUGAGCCUUGAGGGAUUCGUUUUCCUGGGUUAACUUUUCUUUUCCCCUUCAUCUACAGCAGCUUGGAUACUUUUGGCGAAUUCAAGGUCCCUGAUUUCUCCUUCCAACUUACCUAUUCUAGCCCUGUAGCUUUCUUUUUUUGCCAACCAGCCCCAUUACUCUUGCGAGUCGUUGGUGAAUUGUUGAACGUGGGCUCUCUUAUCAGGUCUUUUAGGAAUCUGGAAUCUCCUACCGAACCAAACAGUGUACCUGGGGUCCACUUCACCUCUAGCUAGAUCUUGC
RNAcentral lists this long non-coding RNA (855 nucleotides) under Nicotiana benthamiana. Its description in RNAcentral is "long non-coding RNA (NBEN_LNC020716)". Lineage: Eukaryota; Viridiplantae; Streptophyta; Magnoliopsida; Solanales; Solanaceae. The record is from RNAcentral.